CAAAUUCAAGGAUUAAAGUGGAACUUUGCCAUAAAUAUAAAUAGCCAUUUGUUUGACUUUUAAAUCAGAAUAUAGGCAUAAUUUACUCAGCUCUCAACCUCCAUCUUCAUCAACCUCUCAACCUAAAGCAUGCCAAAAUUUCAAUUGAUCAUAACUUGGUCAUUUUAGCUCGGAUUUGAUUGAUUCUCGCGGCUACGGAAAGAGGAGGAUGAUCUCUACGGAUUGAGCCCAGAAAAUUGAGACUUGACGAGACGACUACCAAUGGAACCCGAAACUUACGGAACGCGAGAUCACUAGGUAUUAUUGAAGAUUAUGGAUAGCAAGCGUGCGUUUUUCAGGUACCUAGAUUCUAGACGUGGCUAGAAGUCCUUCUUUGACCAGAGGUUCCUUUGGGCUAUGUACAGUCCCGACUUUCGUAGUUGCUGCAGUAGUGUGAUUCUGACCGGCGUCGUGGCCUAGCAUAUUAACAUGUUUUUAUGAUGUCUAUAGUUGUUGUCAUUAAAUAUACGCUUUGUUGGCUACGAUUAUUGUAUUUGUUCCACGGAGGUAGAUACCCGUGAAGUGACUUUGACACUAGUAGUUUAUACCGGGCUAGUACGUACCUGAUACGGAAACGAUAAGCCCGAGCAAGUUGUAAGACUUUACUAGUGUAUAUAAAUGUAUCUUUGUUUUGUUAAA
Long non-coding RNA from Mercurialis annua (annual mercury), 678 nucleotides. RefSeq lists it as uncharacterized. The transcript is spliced from 3 exons. NCBI's taxonomy places the organism in Eukaryota, Viridiplantae, Streptophyta, Magnoliopsida, Malpighiales, Euphorbiaceae. The record is from RefSeq and is a predicted model, not a curated record.